AGUCGAGGGGUAUAGUAGCAAUACUAGAGACCGGCGCACGGGUGCGUAACGCGUAUGCAAUCUACCUUUCACAGAGGGAUAGCCCAGAGAAAUUUGGAUUAAUACCUCAUAGUAUAAUGAGUUGGCAUCAACCCAUUAUUAAAGUCACAACGGUGAAAGAUGAGCAUGCGUCCCAUUAGCUAGUUGGUAAGGUAACGGCUUACCAAGGCUACGAUGGGUAGGGGUCCUGAGAGGGAGAUCCCCCACACUGGUACUGAGACACGGACCAGACUCCUACGGGAGGCAGCAGUGAGGAAUAUUGGUCAAUGGGCGCAAGCCUGAACCAGCCAUGCCGCGUGCAGGAUGACGGUCCUAUGGAUUGUAAACUGCUUUUGUACGGGAAGAAACCCUCCAACGUGUUGGAGCUUGACGGUACCGUAAGAAUAAGGAUCGGCUAACUCCGUGCCAGCAGCCGCGGUAAUACGGAGGAUCCAAGCGUUAUCCGGAAUCAUUGGGUUUAAAGGGUCCGUAGGCGGUUUAGUAAGUCAGUGGUGAAAGCCCAUCGCUCAACGGUGGAACGGCCAUUGAUACUGCUAGACUUGAAUUAUUAGGAAGUAACUAGAAUAUGUAGUGUAGCGGUGAAAUGCUUAGAGAUUACAUGGAAUACCAAUUGCGAAGGCAGGUUACUACUAAUGGAUUGACGCUGAUGGACGAAAGCGUGGGUAGCG
Molecule: ribosomal RNA, 707 nt
Filed under: uncultured Bacteroidota bacterium
Lineage: Bacteria; Pseudomonadati; Bacteroidota
Description: bacterial SSU rRNA
Rfam family: Bacterial small subunit ribosomal RNA
Source: RNAcentral